GCAACCAAUAGAAUCCAACAGUUGUGUAAAAUUACACAGAUUUUGGAUACAAUAUUAUAUGCAUUCAUAAUAUAAUUUUCCUCGCAACACUGCGCACUUGAUGUCUGAGACGUCGGCGCUGUUUCGUCGCCAUGUUGAUUCGCUCGUUGAUUUUCACGGUUUUUUUUCUCUCGCGGAUUUAUUAGUUUUCUUUGUUUUUAAUUCAUUUAAUUAAGCCUAAUUCACAAUUAAUGUUACGGGACGACGGCAAAGGAGACAAAAAGCGGAUUUCUGAAUACGGGACAGCAGGCGGACAAUCCUCAAUAUAUAAUUCAAAGUGCAAGUUUAACUCCUUUGGUUUCUGGUGAUUUGGAGUUCCGCGAUGUGCAAUGGCCAAGAAAGGUUCAGGUGAACCGGUUGCUUUUUUGAUACCGCUUUUCGAAAAAGUAAAACGAUAGAUCAAGUUCUAAGCUGAAGUUCUCCAGGAUUUUAAAAAGAUUGAAGCCAUUCGAGGGUUUCGCAUUUUGCGGCCAUUCACAUCCUGCCGGAUGUGAUCGUUGUCAUGGCCUGCAGGCAAAAUCAAAAGUGCCAGCGUCUUUUUGAGAUGGGUUUCGGCGAGCAACUGACGGAGACCUUGCAAAGGAUUCCCGCGGCAAAACAUAUGAAUCUGUUCCGUACAACGCUGUCGAAGUUGCUGGCAGCUGCUGGUCGACUUUGCGAAGGCUGGCUUGAGCGACCAAUGCUGAUGCGAUCGGAUGUAGAGUCUGAAACUCCGGAAGCCCUGGAUUUGAACUUCGCUUGUAGGUUGGUCUAACGAUUUGCUUCCUGAAUUGAGUCCGAAGGUCAAACACGGUCCCAUCACGUUGAAUUGAUUUCUCGGAUACAGAUUUUUAGUAUGUUUGCUGAUGGAAAAUCAAUAUGGCUAAUCACGGUGUACCUCCGCCUUGUCUUUUUUUUUUCGCUCGGUCCGACUACACGUCGCCAACUAUACGCAGUCUAUACGAAGGGGGCGUACAUCAUCUUUCUGAUCGUACCUCUUUGCUCACAUAGGACCUUCUCAUGCUUGUCAGAUCGCUAUCAGGAACCAUUAUCCACGGGAUACAAUUUGUAUUGUGAAAGAAAAAGUCCAUAAUAAUCUAGCUUGAUUUUACAUUUACGUGCACGGCAUGUUUGAAACGACUAUCGAGAAAUCUGACUUGCUCCACCGCGCGAUGCAACGAGUUCGAUUGCUGGUUGAAAGGAAUCUCUUUGCUACCACUUGAUGUAUUGGAACUCCUAAAGAAUGACCUGACCGGACCGGAAGUGUAACGACCUUGGACGGUAAAUCUACAGAGAGAAUUGGUGCGUCUGUGCAUGAAGGUCAUUAAUUCAACUGCUCCGCUAGGAAUUCACAAUCAGCAUGUUGCCUUUAGCCGUGUGUACUGCAGAUGGCAUUCCGGCAUUGCCGUAGCUGAAUGGAACCUUCUCUUUACGAGAGAAAAUGAACGUUCGAUGGUAUCGCAGAUCUGGCUGCGCG
Long non-coding RNA from Armigeres subalbatus, 1495 nucleotides. RefSeq lists it as uncharacterized. The transcript is spliced from 5 exons. The record is from RefSeq and is a predicted model, not a curated record. Lineage: Eukaryota; Metazoa; Arthropoda; Insecta; Diptera; Culicidae.